RNAcentral lists this long non-coding RNA (1083 nucleotides) under Cairina moschata (Muscovy duck). RNAcentral describes it as "domestica (muscovy Duck (domestic type)) lncRNA (ENSCMMG00000015745.1)". Lineage: Eukaryota; Metazoa; Chordata; Aves; Anseriformes; Anatidae. The record is from RNAcentral.
GGGGAUGCUGCAGAGCCCGUCCCUGUGCAUCACAGGCAAGCUGACCCUGAGGGCAUUGACUCUGGUGCUGUAUGGCAGACGUGGCCCCAGCACAGCACAGGGGUGGGUGCUCUCUGCUUUAACCCCAAUGGAAGCUGCUCUGGUUUUGGACCUUUCGUGUGCGUGAACUUGGAUGCAUUUUCCAGCCACACAUCCCUCCAGAUACUUCCCACAGUUUCCUGCAGGACAUGCACAGACUUGUUACUCCUCCUCGCCCUUGUCUGGGAAGUUGCAGGACUCAGACCAUCGGAUGCUUCCCCAAAACUAUUCGCUGGUGCAGGGGCUCCGCUGACGGAGCAGAGCCCGGACCUCUGGGUGAAAACCCCGCAGGAGAGGCCAGGGGCAGGCCUGCAGCACAGGACAGGGCUAGGCAGUGCCUGGGGACAAGGGGUGCAUCACCCCCGAGCCGGACACCCGAGGCGCGUUACUCCAUCAUUCCCCUUCCCAUUUGAAUUCCGCCCUCCAGCGACCCAGGAAAGACCGCGGUGGGAUGCGGAGCCCCCUCCAGCCAGCAAAAACGCCGUUGCUGAAGAUCCCAGCGUCUCUUGCUUGGCAAGGGGGCGGCCCCCGUUUCCUGCAUCCGCUGAUGGGGGGUUCCCGCAUCGCCCCGCGGCCCCUGUCCGGCAGGCCCCACAUCCCCCCGGACGCCCCGGGUCGGGGCCGGGGUGGGGCCGAGACGCGGGGGCGGGGGGGGGAAAUCCCGGGAGACGCCGUGAGCGGCGGGAGGCACCGCCCCGGCCCGCCCCGCCCCGCUAUAAAGGGCGGAGAGCGGCACCGGGCAGCGACGGGAGCGGCGACGCGAGGGUGAGUGCGGCGGCGACGGCGCUCGGUGCGGGCCGCAUCGCCCUGCGGGCACUGGUGCUCGCCGGGGUCAGGCUGCAGGAGGAGGAGGAGGCGGCAGCGGCAGCAGCAGCUCCUACUCCUACUCCUCUUCCUCCUCCUCCUCCUCCUCCUCCUCCUCGCUGCCGCCGCUGCUGCAGCAGCUGGGAGGGCGGUGGCUGUGCGCCGGUAACGGGGGAGCGGGGAGGUGGCGGCCGGGUUUAG